GAAUGGCACACCAUAUUUUUCAAUCCUUCAUUCGGCCAUUUUCACACGCCGCGCCGUUAGCCUGUUUGAGCUGUUCGUGGAAGUUGCAGAGGAUGUACUCAUCGCAUUUCAACGAUGAUAUAAUAUGUACAGCAAAAAUUGAUGGCAAGGGUGACAUGAAUCAGAUUGACAAGAAUCCAUAUUCCUACUCCUCAAUAAUGCUAUCAUCACUGCCAUCAGAUUCAUCAAUGAUAGUGGCAUCAGUGACACAUGAGGAUAAGUGUUGGACAUCACUGCAGGAAUAGAUUCCUUGUUGUGCCUGUCAAUAGCAAGGUACCAGAUUAUACAGCAGUUAUGUGGAAACAUAUUCCCUCAAUAGGGGGACCAGAUUGACACCUACAUUGUACAGUAUCAGGCAGUUAUAUCAAAACUGGAAAAACUGGAUCCAAACAAGACUAUAUUGCUUGGAAGAAACAUGUCGACUCUGAAGUUUAACCCUUAUUAACCCAUGGCACUUCCAGAGACAUCCUGAUACCAUGGUUCUAUGUCAUUUGAAAUAUACCUGUGGAGGUUUUUAAAGUGGUUUUUUUUUGGGGGGGGGGGGGGGGGUGUUAUUAAUUGGAAGAAUUCAUAUUUGAUGAUUCAAAUGAAAAUCUGCAUGUUGAAUUAUGAAUGUCAUAAUGUACUUUUUGAAUGAGUUCAAGAAUGGUUGUCCUGAUGAAAAGUGUAGAGUCAAAAGUUAUCAAAUUGUCAAAAACACUGGUCAGGUCUGAAUUCAUCAUCUUGGACACCUUGCAGUUGGAAUUAUGAUCUCUAUGAAGAAAUGCUGAAAAUCUUGCAAAAGAGGAAAUGACAAGUUGGGGUCCAAGGCACUUGCAUAUAUGCAUGAGAAGGUGUUCUAUCCAGGCUUGAGGUCAAUUACAUAGUAAUGUAACGCCUUACAUUACCUGGAAAAUUUCGCAUUACCAUUACUCCUAUUUUAAAAUAUAAUGUAUUACAUUACUUGAGAGUGAAUUUACAUUACACAUUUACAUAACAUACUGUCAGAUAUUAAAGAAAUGGCAGAAAAAUUAUUUCUGUAUUAUGAUUUUUAAUUAUACAUUAACAUAAGUACACAAAAUAUUCAGCAAUGUUAGGAAACAUAUCUAUUAAGUUAUUCAUUGCAUUUGAUUGUCAUCAAUGUUUCAAAUGCUUCAGUCAAUUACUAAUAAAAUGAAUUAUUCUAAAUCUUCAAAAUAUCAUCAAAUAUUUGAAGUAGUGUAAAUGUAAUGAAAAAUAAUGUGCAGUACAGUAUGCAUUACAUUACCAUUACUUGUAAUGCAAAAAUGGUCCAUUACACCCCCAUUACAUUGAAUUGGCUGUCAUUUAAUUACCAUUACCCCAGCCCUGGUUCUGUCGAGAGGUAUUGAAAUUGUCUGUAGAGACUUUGUCUCAGGAAGUGACCGAGAUUGGUGGUGACAAUUUUGUUGGAUGUAACUUACUGAUACACAUGUCUACACUUGCUACACAAUAUAGCAUGUGGUGGUUUCAACAAGAAAGUUCUUACUCUGCAGGAAAUGACGAAUAGCUAAUGGAUUCACAUUUUUUCUGACUUUUCUUCUGUACAUUAGAUGCAUUGGAAAAACUUUCCUUUCCAUUAUCUUUUGCUGGUUCAUACUUUGAAAUAAAAUCAAGUCCGAAAAUAAAGUAUUUUGGUUUGUUUUUUUUCAAUGAAUUUUAAAAAAUGUAAUCUGUAAUCCUUGCAUAUUUUCUUGGUGUCUCAUAGGCCUAUUGAUUUUUAUUUGUAUUCAGGUAUAAUUUCAUCUUCAGUGUCUUGGAAGAAAUUAAUUUUUCAAUAACGCCAAGAAAAGUGUAGUUAACAGUAUGAUUUUAAUUUUUAAAAAAAUAAUAUUGACACGGGUAGGAAGUGAACCCGGAUCUCCCGAUUGAAGGACGGGCUCUCUACCACUAAGCCACGACGUCUAUGACGUCACUUGCUCAAAAAUCCUUCAUAUAUUUACUUGCCCCAGUGAACGUUAUACUCUCGAUAUAUCGACAAUAGUUUUAGUUAUAUCAAUGCAUGUUCUAUAAAUUCUUUUCAUUUUGAUCUUAGUAAUUCUGUUGGUGUCGUCUAAAUAAAAACUUUCUAUAGCAUUGAAGAUCCGAUUUGUCGGACGGCAGAUUCGUUUGUUUACGCAUCAAAAUUCUAUAGCUUUUAGAAUUCCUGCACAAACUUGUGAUAAAAACACCACAUAGGGGUGUAUUCUGCAUGGGAAUGAUGUAGACUCCACAUAAGUAUAUUGUUUUAAUUUUUCAAAGCAACAUAAUUAAUAAAAUACCCACAACUCUCACAAAAAUAAAUAAUUCUGGAUUGCUCUCGAUUUAAUUCAAAGUUGAUAUUCAUCAACAGCACACCUUUCGAUCCAAAAAAUCGUUCGUACAAAAUUUAUUUGUAUUGAUAGAUUUUGAUAGACUACAGUCAGUUUCUGGAUCGAAGGUCGUGUUUUAUAUGAAUUAUAUGACUAAAUUUGAAAAAAGUGGAGAUUUCUGCAGAAAACCAGACCGAUACCGGUUUUGUCUUGUAUAGAAUUUCACAAGCUGACGUUUUGGCGGGGAAAUCUUGGCACGUCGCGAUGGUAUAAAGAUUAUAUUAUCAAAUGAUACCAAUUUUAUUUCAAUUCAUUCUGCUUUAUUUUUUAACACACCACAGGGCCGAUAUAGCUAAACAUGGUCUUAGUUCUUUGAAUCUGCAUUAUGUCAGGAAGCUUUCAUGUAAAUCUCAGCUUUUCUGGCUCAGUGGUUCUUGUGAAGAAGAUUUUUAAAGAUUUUUCCUAUAUUUUACAUGUAAAACUUUGAUUCCCUAUGGUGGCCCCAUCCAACCCCCGGGGGCCAUGAUUUGAACAAACUUGAAUCUGCAUUAUGUCAGGAAGUUUUCAUGUAAAUAUCAGCUUUUCUGGCUCAGUGGUUCUUGAGAAGAAGAUUUUUAAAGAGUUAUCCUAUAUAUUAGUAUGUAAAACUUUGAUCCCCUAUUGUGGCCCCAUCCAACACCAGGGGGCCAUGAUUUGAACAAACUUGAUUCUGCACUAUGUCAGGAAGCUUUCAUGUAAAUUUCAGCUUUUCUGGUCCAGUGGUUCUUGAGAAGAUUUUUAAAUGACGCACCCACCCUAUUUUUGCAUUGUUGUGAUUAUCUCCCCUUUGAAACUUUCAAAGGGACAUGCCCCUUCAUUUGAACAAACUUGAAAGCCCUUCACCUUUACCCAAGAAUGCUUUGUGUAAAUUUGGUUGAAAUUGGCCCAGUAAUUCUUGAGAAAAAGUCAAAAAUGUGAAAAGUUUACGACACCGACGACAAACAAUGGACAAAUUUUGAUUAGAAAAGCUCACUUGAGCCUUUGGCUCAGGUGAGCUAAAAUGAUCAAAUUUGCAUUGUUCACAACAGGAUUAGUGGAAACUAUAUAUUGGAUUUGGCUAAUUUAAAACUGUUAAUAUUGUACUGUUUUUUGCAUCUCUAAAGCUAAAUUCAUUCUUAGAAUAAUUCAGUUAUAGCUCAAGUAUCACAAUGCUUGCUGUAUGGCUGGGGUAUUAAUUAGUUCUGUCCUACAUUCAUAAGGAAGAAAAUAGAACAUCUGGAAUAGGGACAUAAGGAAGAAAAUAGAACAUCUGGAAUAGGGACAUUAUAUGUUCCCACCUGCUGAGAUAGUAUUCACAAGAACACCAGACCAUAUAAACCAUGCUGGACAAAGUAUGUGCAUGACAUAGUAUCAUGUUAAUUAGAUAACAGGGCUUGAAGCUAACUUUUUAUGUCACCAGUCCAGCCGGACUGAUGGGUAUAACUUCAACCAGUCCACAGAAAAAAUUACCAGUCCAACAGAGUUUUCCAGAAAAAACAAGAGGUACUGUGAGCAAUGCUCACUAAGAAUACCCCCCGCUUACCCCAAUCUCCCAAAGGGUGUUGGUAAUAGGUAUAAACUACCUCUUUUCUGAGUGUAAAAAACAAAUGGCAUGACAAACCGAACCAUAUUGCUACUUCGAUGUUCAGUGCGCUUGACCUUUGACCUUUUGACCCCAAAAUCGAAAGGGAACAUCUUCAUCCCAUGGGUAGUUUAUAUAUAUGAUAUGGUGACUGUAGGUGGAAAGGAUAAUGCUUUAGAGCCCGGAAACCAUAUUACUACUUCGAUGUCCAGUGCACUUGACCUUUGACCUUUUGACCCCAAAAUCGAAAGGGAACAUCUUCAUCCCAUGGGUAGUUUAUAUAUAUGAUAUGGUGACGGUAGGUGGAAAGGAUAAUGCUUUAGAGCCCGGAAACCAUUGCGUCUACAGACGGACGGAUAGAC
Long non-coding RNA from Ostrea edulis (European flat oyster), 4289 nucleotides. RefSeq lists it as uncharacterized. NCBI's taxonomy places the organism in Eukaryota, Metazoa, Mollusca, Bivalvia, Ostreida, Ostreidae. The record is from RefSeq and is a predicted model, not a curated record. The transcript is spliced from 2 exons.